CUGAGAAUGUGGGCCAAAUUUACAACUGCUAUGUUAGUAUAUCGCAUCACAUUCUGGUGUGGAUGCAAAGCGAUAAGCCAGCUUCCUGCUUCUGCCAUGACUUCCUGCCUAUUGCCGUUCCUUCUCCGCCAUGAUAGACUAUCCCUUUGGAAAUGUAAACCACAAUAAACUUGCUUUUUUUUUCAGUGA
This is a long non-coding RNA of Mesocricetus auratus (golden hamster), 189 nucleotides long. RefSeq lists it as uncharacterized. The record is from RefSeq and is a predicted model, not a curated record. The transcript has 2 exons. Lineage: Eukaryota; Metazoa; Chordata; Mammalia; Rodentia; Cricetidae.